Molecule: ribosomal RNA, 552 nt
Filed under: Oceanobacillus iheyensis
Lineage: Bacteria; Bacillati; Bacillota; Bacilli; Caryophanales; Bacillaceae
Description: bacterial SSU rRNA
Rfam family: Bacterial small subunit ribosomal RNA
Source: RNAcentral
GAGUUGACGAUAAUGGAAUGAGCGGCGGACGGGUGAGUAACACGUAGGCAACCUGCCUGUAAGACUGGGAUAACUCGUGGAAACGCGAGCUAAUACCGGAUAACACUUUUCAUCUCCUGAUGAUAAGUUGAAAGGCGGCUUUUGCUGUCACUUACAGAUGGGCCUGCGGCGCAUUAGCUAGUUGGUAAGGUAACGGCUUACCAAGGCGACGAUGCGUAGCCGACCUGAGAGGGUGAUCGGCCACACUGGGACUGAGACACGGCCCAGACUCCUACGGGAGGCAGCAGUAGGGAAUCUUCCGCAAUGGACGAAAGUCUGACGGAGCAACGCCGCGUGAGUGAUGAAGGUUUUCGGAUCGUAAAACUCUGUUGUUAGGGAAGAACAAGUACUAUAGUAACUGAUGGUACCUUGACGGUACCUAACCAGAAAGCCACGGCUAACUACGUGCCAGCAGCCGCGGUAAUACGUAGGUGGCAAGCGUUGUCCGGAAUUAUUGGGCGUAAAGCGCUCGCAGGCGGUUCUUUAAGUCUGAUGUGAAAUCUUACGGCUCAA